This 1470-nucleotide ribosomal RNA is filed under the name Lactiplantibacillus plantarum. Its description in RNAcentral is "bacterial SSU rRNA". It matches the Rfam family "Bacterial small subunit ribosomal RNA". The record is from RNAcentral. Lineage: Bacteria; Bacillati; Bacillota; Bacilli; Lactobacillales; Lactobacillaceae.
GCUGGCGGCGUGCCUAAUACAUGCAAGUCGAACGAACUCUGGUAUUGAUUGGUGCUUGCAUCAUGAUUUACAUUUGAGUGAGUGGCGAACUGGUGAGUAACACGUGGGAAACCUGCCCAGAAGCGGGGGAUAACACCUGGAAACAGAUGCUAAUACCGCAUAACAACUUGGACCGCAUGGUCCGAGCUUGAAAGAUGGCUUCGGCUAUCACUUUUGGAUGGUCCCGCGGCGUAUUAGCUAGAUGGUGGGGUAACGGCUCACCAUGGCAAUGAUACGUAGCCGACCUGAGAGGGUAAUCGGCCACAUUGGGACUGAGACACGGCCCAAACUCCUACGGGAGGCAGCAGUAGGGAAUCUUCCACAAUGGACGAAAGUCUGAUGGAGCAACGCCGCGUGAGUGAAGAAGGGUUUCGGCUCGUAAAACUCUGUUGUUAAAGAAGAACAUAUCUGAGAGUAACUGUUCAGGUAUUGACGGUAUUUAACCAGAAAGCCACGGCUAACUACGUGCCAGCAGCCGCGGUAAUACGUAGGUGGCAAGCGUUGUCCGGAUUUAUUGGGCGUAAAGCGAGCGCAGGCGGUUUUUUAAGUCUGAUGUGAAAGCCUUCGGCUCAACCGAAGAAGUGCAUCGGAAACUGGGAAACUUGAGUGCAGAAGAGGACAGUGGAACUCCAUGUGUAGCGGUGAAAUGCGUAGAUAUAUGGAAGAACACCAGUGGCGAAGGCGGCUGUCUGGUCUGUAACUGACGCUGAGGCUCGAAAGUAUGGGUAGCAAACAGGAUUAGAUACCCUGGUAGUCCAUACCGUAAACGAUGAAUGCUAAGUGUUGGAGGGUUUCCGCCCUUCAGUGCUGCAGCUAACGCAUUAAGCAUUCCGCCUGGGGAGUACGGCCGCAAGGCUGAAACUCAAAGGAAUUGACGGGGGCCCGCACAAGCGGUGGAGCAUGUGGUUUAAUUCGAAGCUACGCGAAGAACCUUACCAGGUCUUGACAUACUAUGCAAAUCUAAGAGAUUAGACGUUCCCUUCGGGGACAUGGAUACAGGUGGUGCAUGGUUGUCGUCAGCUCGUGUCGUGAGAUGUUGGGUUAAGUCCCGCAACGAGCGCAACCCUUAUUAUCAGUUGCCAGCAUUAAGUUGGGCACUCUGGUGAGACUGCCGGUGACAAACCGGAGGAAGGUGGGGAUGACGUCAAAUCAUCAUGCCCCUUAUGACCUGGGCUACACACGUGCUACAAUGGAUGGUACAACGAGUUGCGAACUCGCGAGAGUAAGCUAAUCUCUUAAAGCCAUUCUCAGUUCGGAUUGUAGGCUGCAACUCGCCUACAUGAAGUCGGAAUCGCUAGUAAUCGCGGAUCAGCAUGCCGCGGUGAAUACGUUCCCGGGCCUUGUACACACCGCCCGUCACACCAUGAGAGUUUGUAACACCCAAAGUCGGUGGGGUAACCUUUUAGGAACCAGCCGCCUAAGGUGGGACAG